GUUAAUAUUCUCUAUAUUUUCUGUAUUAAUCCCAAUUUUGCCCUGUGUGGGAGUUGCACGCUCUUCUCUGUUCUCUGUUCUCUCUUCUCUCUUCUCUCUUCUGCGUAACACCACAUCUCUUCUCUCUCUCCCGAGUGAAGUCCCGACGUGACUUUUUAGGUUUGGCGUCGACCUCUUUGCUUGUUUUUGUUUUUCGAUUUCAGUCCCUUAGGUUCAUUUUAGGUUCUAGGUUUUGCUUUUUUUGUGUUCCUCUGGGAAAUCGAAAUCGAGGCCCCAAUUUUGACAUCAAGAUGCAUCUGUGGUCUGAAAUGAGUUCAUCACUAUUUACGGCUCAUGGCUUCUCGUCCUUGUCUCUUCUUAGCUUCUCUAGCUCUGUCUCUCCUGCUCUUUAUCGUCACAGCUCAUCUCUCUCCUCGCCUCCAUUAUUCUCCCCAAGUCCCAGGUUCCCAGCUCCUGCUCUUUCUCAUUUUUUUCGUUUUCCUUUGAGGGUUCCUGGUAAAUCGGUUAGAUAAUAAGAAGUUAGCUUCGUAUUCUUGGGUUUGGUGCUUCAGCUUGAGUUAUUGAAAUUGCCAAGCUCUCUAAUUUCAUGUUAAGCUCUCCAAAAUCACAUAGAACACUCACCGAGAAAAUUGCCUUUCCACGUCAAGGAGAAUCUCAGCAUCUUCUGCAAUGGUAAUGGGUUUCAAUUUCAAUGAGAUAAAUAAGACGAAGAAGACUUCAUUGGACUUGGCUUGGGACAGAUCCUCUCACUUCUAUGUACGAAUUAAUGCCUUUACAUCCUCUAAGCUCGCCAGAACUUUGUGUUGUCGCCAACUAGAAACAUAUUAAGUUAUUAACAAUGUAAGUGAUACUUAAUCAAAACAAAUAGUACAAUAUAAGUAUAUAUAGUACAACGUAAAUAGUAUAGUCCACGCAAACAUUACUUAUGUAUUUUGUGAAGUUUGUUUGGCUUAUUAUCUUAGAUUUUGUUGUAUUAUAUAGAUUAUAGAACACAAAUCAGUCUAUUUUAUUUUUGUUGGUAGAAACCAUAUGAAAUAG
Molecule: long non-coding RNA, 1038 nt
Filed under: Arabidopsis lyrata
Lineage: Eukaryota; Viridiplantae; Streptophyta; Magnoliopsida; Brassicales; Brassicaceae
Description: long non-coding RNA (ALYR_LNC001827)
Source: RNAcentral